UACGUAGGGUGCGAGCGUUAAUCGGAAUUACUGGGCGUAAAGUGUGCGCAGGCGGUCGUGCAAGUCGCGUGUGAAAGCCCCCGGCUCAACUGGGGAGGGUCACGCGAUACUGUUCGACUCGAAGGCAGGAGAGGGAAGCGGAAUUCCCGGUGUAGUGGUGAAAUGCGUAGAUAUCGGGAGGAACACCAGUGGCGAAGGCGGCUUCCUGGCCUGUUCUUGACGCGGAGGCGCGAAAGCUAGGUAGCAAACGGG
RNAcentral lists this ribosomal RNA (252 nucleotides) under uncultured bacterium. RNAcentral's name for it is "partial 16S ribosomal RNA". It matches the Rfam family "Bacterial small subunit ribosomal RNA", at positions 524 to 776 of the family's 1533-position model. The record is from RNAcentral.